GAAGGUACAGCUCAGUGGUAGAGUGAGCACUUAGCAUGCAUAAGGUCCUGGGUUCAAUCCCCAGUACCUCCA
Camelus ferus (Wild Bactrian camel) is the source of this 72-nucleotide transfer RNA. It matches the Rfam family "tRNA". From Rfam's summary of the family: Transfer RNA (tRNA) molecules are approximately 80 nucleotides in length. Their secondary structure includes four short double-helical elements and three loops (D, anti-codon, and T loops). Further hydrogen bonds mediate the characteristic L-shaped molecular structure. tRNAs have two regions of fundamental functional importance: the anti-codon, which is responsible for specific mRNA codon recognition, and the 3' end, to which the tRNAs corresponding amino acid is attached (by aminoacyl-tRNA synthetases). tRNAs cope with the degeneracy of the genetic code in two manners: having more than one tRNA (with a specific anti-codon) for a particular amino acid; and 'wobble' base-pairing, i.e. permitting non-standard base-pairing at the 3rd anti-codon position. NCBI's taxonomy places the organism in Eukaryota, Metazoa, Chordata, Mammalia, Artiodactyla, Camelidae. The record is from Rfam.